This 161-nucleotide ribosomal RNA is filed under the name uncultured bacterium. RNAcentral's name for it is "partial 16S ribosomal RNA". It matches the Rfam family "Bacterial small subunit ribosomal RNA", at positions 355 to 529 of the family's 1533-position model. The record is from RNAcentral.
UGGGGAAUAUUGGGCAAUGGGCGCAAGCCUGACCCAGCAACGCCGCGUGAAGGAAGAAGGCUUUCGGUUGUAAACUUCUUUUGUCAGGGACGAAGCAAGUGACGGUACCUGACGAAUAAGCCACGGCUAACUACGUGCCAGCACCGCGGUAAUCAUGCGCU